This is a non-coding RNA of Schistosoma curassoni, 45 nucleotides long. The record is from Rfam. NCBI's taxonomy places the organism in Eukaryota, Metazoa, Platyhelminthes, Trematoda, Strigeidida, Schistosomatidae.
AUCCAGCUGAUGAGUCCGAAUUAGGACGAAACACGCGUCCUGGAU